RNAcentral lists this ribosomal RNA (421 nucleotides) under uncultured bacterium. Its description in RNAcentral is "bacterial SSU rRNA". It matches the Rfam family "Bacterial small subunit ribosomal RNA", at positions 355 to 774 of the family's 1533-position model. The record is from RNAcentral.
UAAGGAAUAUUGGUCAAUGGACGCAAGUCUGAACCAGCCAUGCCGCGUGAAGGAUGAAGGUCCUCUGGAUUGUAAACUUCUUUUAUCUGGGACGAAAACGGGAUUUUUAUCUCAAUUGACGGUACCAGAGGAAUAAGCACCGGCUAACUCCGUGCCAGCAGCCGCGGUAAUACGGAGGGUGCGAGCGUUAUCCGGAUUUACUGGGUUUAAAGGGUGCGUAGGUGGGCUUAUAAGACAGUGGUGAAAUCUCCGAGCUUAACUUGGAAACUGCCGUUGAUACUAUAGGUCUUGAAUUAUCUGGAGGUAAGCGGAAUAUGUCAUGUAGCGGUGAAAUGCUGAGAUAUGACAUAGAACACCAAUUGCGAAGGCAGCUUACUACAUAUAAAUUGACGCUGAGGCACGAAAGCGUGGGGAUCAAACA